GGCAAAGAUAAGUGCUGACAAGGAGGUGGGAAUCAGGCACUUCCAUAUCUUGUUAGCAAAGGUGUAAAUCGCAAUCUGUCUGGAAGGCAACUGACAAUAAUAAAAAUUAAAAUGGACAUUUCCUUUGAUCCAACAAUAAAUUCUUCCCAAUAGUUCUAUAUGUAUAUGAUUGCAAAGAUAUAGGUACAAGGAUGUUCAUUGCAUCAUUGUUUCCAGGAACAAAAGUGACAAACCAAAUGUCCAACAGGAGAUUGAUUAAAUAAAUUAUGUAAUGGAUCAAAAACUACUAACAUGACUAUUUCUAGUCUUCCCCUUCCAUCUGCUAGGUAAAGAGAAUUUUGUCUUAGGUCAAUGUUCUCAUUUCUCUCCCUAAGGGAAGUGUUCAAUAGCUUUUGGACUUCCGUGAUGCAGUAACACGCGGAAAGCAGAGGGCACAGAAAGCUGCAAAACUUUGUGGAAUCGACACAAGCUCAGGAAUGUGAGGAAGCAUAUGGAAAAGGAAAGGACUUUACUAAAAUUGGAAGAGCCAAUGACCUACCAGGAGCCAGGCAAUACAUUACAGCAGUGUUCUUGAAUUUGAGCGUGCACUGGAACCGCCUGGAGCGCUUGUUAAAACACAACCGGCUGGGCCCAUGCCCAGAGUUUCUGAUUCAGUGGAUCUAGGCUGGAGCCUGAGAAUUUGCGUUUCUAACAAGUUCCCAGGCGAUGCUGCUGCUGCUGGUUCAGGGACGACACUGUUGAAUGCAGGACCCCUGCAUUAAAGCAUACUACUUUAUCUCAGCGGAACCACCAGGAGCAGGAGAGCACACAGGUGAAUGAGGGCCAGGAGGUCAUCAAGGAAAAUCUAGGGCUGAAGAUCUAGAGGAAAUCCCAAUAGUUUCAGUGCCGAGCCGGCCAGUUGGCCAUCACAGGGCUGAGAAGGUGCAGAGGCAAGACAGUAACUGCUCUGGUAGAGUAGGGGAUGAGAAUGUCACCUGCAUCAUGGUCCUACUGGGACUGGGUUUGAUCAUUGUUACAGAUGGAUAUUUAGUCUUUUCAUUGUAAAUUAGCUUCCACUGUUGGGAGAAGAGAUCCUCAUCUUCAUUUCCUUAACUUCAAAAUGGAAAUGACUCUUGCUUUGAGAGGUCUCAACAAUUGAAGUCAGAGGGCAAAUGUUACCGGAAAUGCAAAUAAUAAAAAUAAGUGCAAGACCAAAAAAAAUUAUAAAAGUGCAAGGCUCAAAAACGAAGAUGCUUCUCCUUUAUCUUUGUGUUACUUGACUUAGAACAAAAAAAACGGACUCCGACCCACCUCUGGGUCAAACUUCCCAGGGCGGUCUUCUCCCAGCCACGGCUUCCCUGCGACGCUUGGCUCGGCCAGCAGAUGGUGCGGGUCCAGCGCUUUUCCGAACCUAGGCUGAGCGGGCAGCACACGGAGACUGCGCGGCUCAGCGGCGUCGCCCCCGCCGCGCUCUCGGAUCACAACACCGUCAGGCCACUGCGCCGCUCCGCCCCGAGCUUUGCUGCAAGCGCCCAGGGGGCGGAUUCCUUUGGGGUGACUGGAUUUGGGAGGAAAACUUGCACGGAGUGCUCAUUGGGGCCGAAAUACCUAUUCCGCUCAGGAGUGGG
This 1607-nucleotide long non-coding RNA is filed under the name Equus asinus (donkey). RNAcentral's name for it is "lncRNA (ENSEASG00005033695.1)". Lineage: Eukaryota; Metazoa; Chordata; Mammalia; Perissodactyla; Equidae. The record is from RNAcentral.